AAUUAUUAUUGAAUCGCGUCUGUUCGCCGGUCAAUGCAGCGGCUAGCCCUGAGGCUACGGUGCACCAUAGAUAUACACUGUGGAGUAUAGUGUUUGUACCCAUGGAUAUUUGUAUAUCUAUGGGUGCACGUUACACACUAGAUCUAUCUGCAGUAAAAGUUUUACUGACGUAUUGGCGAUUCUGCAUUUCAGAUUGGUGAACCAUAUGUCAGUUAUAAACAUUAUGAAAACUUUAUAAAGCGAUUCAUUCUGCCAAAUUUUGACAUUUACGGUCUAAAGGUGGGUUCUCAAUAUCACGCAUGCACGUCCAUCACGACCGGAAGUGCUGCCAUAAACCAAUGGGAGCAUGUGUCACAUUAGAAAACAUUUCUAUUCUGACACAUUGACGCAUGCUCCCAUUGGUUCAUAUAGCACUUCCAGUCGUGACGCUAGAGCAUGAAAAACAAUGUGUCAUAUCAAGAACCCACCUUAAAUGGUAUAAAAUGCCAAAUAUAUUGUCUAACAUUUCUGCUGACUGUAUGGCUUAAUUUGAUCUACAUACUUGUUGGGUUAACAUGUCAGUUGCUAUGUAAAUAGUUCUGUUUAUUUUUACAUGUUUCUUUUGAACUUGACAAUUUC
This is a long non-coding RNA of Amphimedon queenslandica, 618 nucleotides long. RefSeq lists it as uncharacterized. The record is from RefSeq and is a predicted model, not a curated record. NCBI's taxonomy places the organism in Eukaryota, Metazoa, Porifera, Demospongiae, Haplosclerida, Niphatidae. The transcript has 2 exons.